RNAcentral lists this ribosomal RNA (497 nucleotides) under uncultured bacterium. Its description in RNAcentral is "partial 16S ribosomal RNA". It matches the Rfam family "Bacterial small subunit ribosomal RNA", at positions 28 to 507 of the family's 1533-position model. The record is from RNAcentral.
GAUGAACGCUGGCGGCGUGCUUAAUACAUGCAAGUCGAGCGAACAGUUGCGGAGCUUGCUCCUCUGACGUUAGCGGCGGACGGGUGAGAAACACGAGGAUAACCUCCCUAUAAGAAUGGGAUAACUUCGGGAAACCGGAGCUAAUACCGGAUAAUAUACUGAUCCGCAUGGUUCAAUAGUGAAAGACGGUUUUGCUGUCACUUAUAGAUGGAUCCGCGCCGCAUUAGCUAGUUGGUACGGUAACGGCUUACCAAGGCAACGAUGCGUAGCCGACCUGAGAGGGUGGUCGGCCACACUGGAACUGAGACACGGUCCAGACCCCUACGGAAAGCAGCAGUAGGCGGUCUUCCGCAGUACACGCAAGCCUAACCGAGCACCGCCGCGUGGGUGAUGCAGGGCUUCGGCUCGGGAAACUCUCUUGUCUGAGGGGAACAAAUGUGUAGGUACCUACUCACGUCUUGACGGUAACUACUCAAGAAGCCACGGCUAACUACGUG